This 283-nucleotide ribosomal RNA is filed under the name uncultured prokaryote. Its description in RNAcentral is "partial 16S ribosomal RNA". It matches the Rfam family "Bacterial small subunit ribosomal RNA", at positions 524 to 805 of the family's 1533-position model. The record is from RNAcentral.
UACGUAGGGGGCUAGCGUUAUCCGGAAUUACUGGGCGUAAAGGGUGCGUAGGUGGUUUCUUAAGUCAGAGGUGAAAGGCUACGGCUCAACCGUAGUAAGCCUUUGAAACUGGGAAACUUGAGUGCAGGAGAGGAGAGUGGAAUUCCUAGUGUAGCGGUGAAAUGCGUAGAUAUCGGGAGGAACACCAGUGGCGAAGGCGGCCUCCUGGACCAUUCCUGACACUCAGACGCGAAAGCUAGGGUAGCAAACGGGAUUAGAUACCCGCGUAGUCCCUGAGCGGGCU